AUUAUUUUUAGAGGCAUUGCAGGUGUGGCAGAGGGGUGCAUGAGCCAUAGCAGGUGGCAGAGGGGAGAGAGGCUACGCCUAUGUUCUGUGUUCUGACCUGUGAACGCCUGAAUGAUUAGUAGCCUAAUAGU
Molecule: small nucleolar RNA, 131 nt
Organism: Rattus norvegicus (Norway rat)
Lineage: Eukaryota; Metazoa; Chordata; Mammalia; Rodentia; Muridae
Product: small nucleolar RNA SNORA17
Source: Ensembl